RNAcentral lists this ribosomal RNA (428 nucleotides) under uncultured bacterium. Its description in RNAcentral is "bacterial SSU rRNA". It matches the Rfam family "Bacterial small subunit ribosomal RNA", at positions 355 to 775 of the family's 1533-position model. The record is from RNAcentral.
UCGAGGAUCUUCUGCAAUGGGCGCAAGCCUGACAGAGCGACGCCGCGUGGGGGAGGAAGGCCUUCGGGUUGUAAACCCCUGUUGUCGGUUACGAAUGCCGGGACGCAAACAGCGUUACCGGUUGACUAAGGCCGAUGAGGAAGCCACGGCUAACUACGUGCCAGCAGCCGCGGUAAGACGUAGGUGGCGAGCGUUGUUCGGAAUCACUGGGCAUAAAGCGCACGUAGGCGGCCAAGUCAGUCAGGUGUGAAAUACCUCGGCUCAACCGAGGAACUGCGCCUGAUACUGCUUGGCUUGAGGUCCGGAGGGGAGAGUGGAAUUCCCGGUGGAGCGGUGAAAUGCGUAGAGAUCGGGAAGAACGCCGGCGGCGAAAGCGACUCUCUGGUCGGAAUCUGACGCUGAGGUGCGAAAGCUAGGGGAGCAAACGG